UCCCCUACUGCAGCUACCAUAAUUUCAAAUUAUUCUCUAUACUCAACAACUGAUUGUUUGAUUUCUAGAAAUUGUUGCAUAACACUUCCUAUUCUCUUAAUGCCAAAUCGAUCAAGUAGAUGAUGUUUUAGAUCUGUCUAGUCUUUGAUUGGUUGGCGAUGAUCUUCCCAUUUGAACAAUUUGAGGGCUCUAUUUUCAAAACUAAUGCAUGUAGCUGCUAAUUUC
This 225-nucleotide long non-coding RNA is filed under the name Spirodela polyrhiza (greater duckweed). RNAcentral describes it as "long non-coding RNA (SPOL_LNC002685)". Lineage: Eukaryota; Viridiplantae; Streptophyta; Magnoliopsida; Alismatales; Araceae. The record is from RNAcentral.